RNAcentral lists this ribosomal RNA (1485 nucleotides) under Triticum aestivum (bread wheat). RNAcentral's name for it is "partial small subunit ribosomal RNA". Lineage: Eukaryota; Viridiplantae; Streptophyta; Magnoliopsida; Poales; Poaceae. The record is from RNAcentral.
AUGGGGAGCUUGGCUGCUCUUCUCCUCGUAGGGAUCCUGCUCCAGCUCGCCGGCUGCAGCCCUCCACCGGACCCGGUGACCUGCACGCAUGGCACGUCCAACUGCACGGUCACCAACACGUACGGCUCCUUCACGGACCGCAUCAUCUGCCACGCGGCCAACGUUGUCUACCCGAGCACCGAGCAGGAGCUGGUCGCGGCCGUGGCGGCCGCGGCGUCCGCCAAACGCAAGAUGAAGGUGGCCACCAAGCACUCACACAGCGGCCCCAAGCUGGCGUGCCCCGGCGGCAGCCAGGGCACCAUCAUAAGCACCUCACGGCUGAACCGGACGGUUCGUGUCGACGCCGAGAGGCAGCUCAUCACGGUGGAGAGCGGCAUGGUACUCCGGGACCUGAUCCAGGCCGCUGCCGCAGCGGGGCUGUCACUGCCGCACUCGCCGAACUGGUACGGCCUAACCAUCGGCGGGCUCCUCGCGACGGGCGCGCAUGGGAGCGGGCUGUGGGGCAAGGGAGGCGCCGUGCACGAGUACGUGGUCGGUCUGAGGAUCGUGACGCCGGCGCCGGCGUGUCACGGGUUCGCCAUGGUGAGGGAGCUCGGCGCCGAUCACCCGGACCUGGACGCCGCCAAGGUCUCCCUUGGGGUCCUCGGCGUUGUCUCCCAGGUGACUCUGGCCCUGCAGCCGCUGUUCAAGCGGUCAGUGACGUUCCUGAGGCGCAACGACUCGGACUUCACGGCACGGGUGGCCGAGUGGGGCCGUCUUCACGAGUUCGCCGACAUGAUAUGGCUGCCGCAGCACGGCAGCGUCAUCUACCGCCAGGACGACCGCGGUACCCGAUUGUGGGGUACCAGCAUCGCAUCCAGGCGUCCGGAUCAUGCAUCGAUGGCCCAGAGGAUGGCCUCCUCUCGCAUCCGAGGCACCUUCCUGUACAACUCCGGCUUCAGCGUCCCACUCUCUAAGGUGUCGGCGUUCGUCGCCGACAUGCAACGGCUCCGGGACCUCAAACCGGCCGCGUUUUGUGCCCUCCUUCGUACGGGUGUUGUCCUCCGCUACGUCAAGGCGUCCUCCGCGUACCUCGGCAAGCCCGAGGACUCUGUUGACGUUGACAUCAUCUUCUACCGCAGCCACACCGACGCCGACGUGGUGGACGAGAUUGAGCAGAUGGCAUUGGGUAAGUACGGCGGCCUGCCGCACUGGGGUAAGAACCGCAACUUCGCCUUCGAUGGUGUCAUCGCAAGGUACCCAAAAGCCAAUAAGUUCCUUAAGGUAAAGAAUAUGUACUACCCCGACGGGCUCUUCUCCAGCGAGUGGACCGAUCAAGUGCUCGGCGUCAACGGGACCCCCAACAUCAUUAAGAAGCGUUGCGCCAUUGAAGGACUAUGUGUCUGCUCUGACGACUUGCACUGUGCGCCAGAGCAGGGGUACUUCUGCCGGCCAGGGAAGGUUUACACGAAUGCAAGAUUUUGCUCUUCCACCGAGGAAUAUUAG